AUGCUACUGAAUCCAAGCUUUUCUCAGAUGCAUGUGGUGAACUUCAGCACCUUGCUUGAUCUCAUUUGCCACUGCCAGGAUUUCUUUCCUUUGGAUACGAGACAAAAGCCAACUCCCUCCCAGUCUUCUUUCCGACAGUGGCGACUCGACAGGUGGUCGUGUGUUGGUAGGUCGACGAGGCAGCGGCGACUCGGCGUAGGACAGCUUGUAGGCAGCGGCUCAAGGCAAGCCAUAGUGGAUGCAGCGCGCUGGCGAGGGGAGGCCGAGCAGCGGUAUACAAAGGCAAGGCACAACGGCGGCUUGCAGGCGUGGGCCACGGUAGCUCGAGCCGGAGGCAAGGCAACAACAGCGGCCGAUGAGAACUCCGGUGAGUCGGGCACCUUGAGGUGA
This 390-nucleotide ribosomal RNA is filed under the name Triticum aestivum (bread wheat). RNAcentral describes it as "partial small subunit ribosomal RNA". Lineage: Eukaryota; Viridiplantae; Streptophyta; Magnoliopsida; Poales; Poaceae. The record is from RNAcentral.